GAGGUCCCGCCUGCCCUGUGACCAAAAGUUUAACGGCCGCGGUAUUUUAACCGUGCAAAGGUAGCGCAAUCAAUUGUCUUUUAAAUGGAGACCUGUAUGAAUGGCAUUACGAGGGUUUAACUGUCUCUUUGUUCUGGUCAAUGAAGCUGAUCUGCCCGUGCAGAAGCGGGCAUAACCCCACAAGACGAGAAGACCCUAUGGAGCUUUAGAUGCCCACCAACCACUCAAAGCAGCCCAGUCAAUUGGGCACUCAAACAACGUGGUCCUGGCACAAACAUCUUCGGUUGGGGCGACCACGGGGGAGAAGAAAGCCCCCGAGAGGACUGGGGGAAACCCUAGAACCAAGAGCCACAGCUCUAGGCAACAAAACAUUUGACCGACAAUGAUCCGGCUCACUGCCGAUCAACGGACCAAGUUACCCUAGGGAUAACAGCGCAAUCCUCUCCCAGAGUCCAUAUCGACGAGAGGGUUUACGACCUCGAUGUUGGAUCAGGACAUCCUAAUGGUGCA
Molecule: ribosomal RNA, 510 nt
Filed under: Anodontostoma chacunda (Chacunda gizzard shad)
Lineage: Eukaryota; Metazoa; Chordata; Actinopteri; Clupeiformes; Clupeidae
Description: partial small subunit ribosomal RNA
Rfam family: Bacterial large subunit ribosomal RNA
Source: RNAcentral